This 416-nucleotide long non-coding RNA is filed under the name Carica papaya (papaya). Its description in RNAcentral is "long non-coding RNA (CPAP_LNC012616)". The record is from RNAcentral. Lineage: Eukaryota; Viridiplantae; Streptophyta; Magnoliopsida; Brassicales; Caricaceae.
AAGAAAUACCAAACUACCAAAAGAACCAGACCAAAGAACAAACCCCUUAUGAAUACAGGGGUGUAAUUAUCAAAUUGUCCAAUUUGUAAAUGAGAAAACAAAGAUCACAUUUUUCAAGCCAACUAUAGACAGUAACAGGCGAUUCUAUUUUAUUGCAUUUGUUUAAACAUAAUUCUCGUCCUACAUUUCUUCCUUCUAAGGGAGAAGAUUGCCAAAAGAGAAAACCUGAAAAGGAAGGUAGAACAAAAAGGAACAAAUCAAAUGUCAUUUUCACCUUUUUCUCAUCUCAUAUCUAGUUUCAACAAUAUUUACAUAUAAAACCUACAGUUACCUAUUAUGAUAAUCUCCUCCAAGGAAAAUAGUUAAGUAGAGAAUGUAAGAACCUGUAUAUAAUCCGCUGCCUCCACAAUCNNNNN